RNAcentral lists this ribosomal RNA (148 nucleotides) under uncultured bacterium. RNAcentral describes it as "partial 16S ribosomal RNA". It matches the Rfam family "Bacterial small subunit ribosomal RNA", at positions 359 to 529 of the family's 1533-position model. The record is from RNAcentral.
CUAGGGGGUGGCGGCGAAGCUGAUGCAGCAACGCCGCGUGAGUGAUGAAGGCCUUCGGGUUGUAAACUUCUUUUAUCCGGGACGAUAAUGACCGUACCUGAAGAAUAAGCCCCGGCUAACUUCGUGCCAGCAGCCGCGGUAAUAAAUA